RNAcentral lists this long non-coding RNA (1016 nucleotides) under Felis catus (domestic cat). Its description in RNAcentral is "lncRNA (ENSFCAG00000049183.1)". Lineage: Eukaryota; Metazoa; Chordata; Mammalia; Carnivora; Felidae. The record is from RNAcentral.
UUGUCCAUUCCCAAUAAAGUGUACUGUUAGAAAGGAAAGAUUAGGGGACUGUCACUACACAGGCAGUGGGCCAGGACUUCCAGUUAUUCCCAGGUGAGCCACAUAGUGUGGAAUCUUCAUUCAGUCUAUUUUUCCCCUUAGAAAUAUUUAUACUUUCAGAGAAAUUGAUAUUAUGGCAUUGAUUGUUUGCAUGGUGGCUCUUCCCUCUUCCAGAACAUACAAGUGCAGUCCUCGACCUGGUACAGCUAGACAGAGUAGAAUAGGGAAGAUACUUUUGAGGUGAGAAAGUCAGAUAGUAUGUGCUUGCAUCAUCCUCCAACAUUCAUUCUCAUCCCCAUAUUCUUUACAAAGAAUGCUUUGCAAAGGUGCUCCUCCACUAUCCCUCAUAUUCAGAUAAAAUCUGAAUUUACCCAUGAGUCGGAUCAGCUUUUCAUACCUCUAUCAUACUCUUUCCAUUUUUAGUAAAGGUUUUUGAUUCCAGUUUGAAGAUGGUAGGAGGUAUAUUAAGUCCAUAUGAUGUUAAGCUUCUUAUCUCAUUUUGCUACAUUAGCAGCAAUGGCAUGUCUCCUUGAUCUGUGAAAUGCAGUUGGUAGAAUCAAAUAGAAACACAAUCUGUUGUUCCAAAUCUUUGAGGGGAUUGACUUCAGUCAAAGCGUAAUAAAGCCCAAAGUAGUAAUCAUGCCUAUUCCAGUCAGAACCUGUUUGAAGUCACAUGGGGUCACUGGUAAGAGUUCCCCUAACCUACCUGCUAGCUAUUGUCCUUGAGAAUCUUACCCAAAGCCUUAUAAUCUUUUCCUCUUGGCAUUCUGGGAAGUGUUUUAUACAGGAGAAAAGAAUGUCACUUUUAUACCCAUCAUUUUUUUGUUUUUAUAGAAUUCCUUCCUCUUACAUGUUGUGAUUAUCCUAUUUGCUAUUUUUUUUUUUUUUUGGUUCAUCAGGUUGUUUAUACUUUGUCAACCAGUUUGGACAAAUAUCAAGAUAAUAAACUCAUUUAGGUGACAGAAUUACUUGAUUAU